RNAcentral lists this ribosomal RNA (350 nucleotides) under uncultured Phoma. Its description in RNAcentral is "SSU rRNA". It matches the Rfam family "Eukaryotic small subunit ribosomal RNA", at positions 1326 to 1698 of the family's 1831-position model. Lineage: Eukaryota; Fungi; Ascomycota. The record is from RNAcentral.
CGAUAACGAACGAGACCUUAACCUGCUAAAUAGCCAGGCUAGCUUUGGCUGGUCGCCGGCUUCUUAGAGGGACUAUCGGCUCAAGCCGAUGGAAGUUUGAGGCAAUAACAGGUCUGUGAUGCCCUUAGAUGUUCUGGGCCGCACGCGCGCUACACUGACAGAGCCAACGAGUUAUUCACCUUGGCCGGAAGGUCUGGGUAAUCUUGUUAAACUCUGUCGUGCUAGGGAUAGAGCAUUGCAAUUAUUGCUCUUCAACGAGGAAUGCCUAGUAAGCGCAUGUCAUCAGCAUGCGUUGAUUACGUCCCUGCCCUUUGUACACACCGCCCGCCGCUACUACCGAUUGAAUGGCU